Long non-coding RNA from Gallus gallus (chicken), 10692 nucleotides. NCBI's taxonomy places the organism in Eukaryota, Metazoa, Chordata, Aves, Galliformes, Phasianidae. The record is from Ensembl.
GUGGAAGUGGGGAACGUCACCAGAGAUGGGUGAUGGAGGGAUGGACAGCGGGGACAGACGGACAGCAAAGCGGCUGUGGAAGCAAUCCCUGAGCCCAAAGCAGCGCCCUCCAGCAAUGGGGUAUGGGGUAAUCGUUCCAUCCCCACAUCCCCAUGCAAUGGGAGCACAGCACUAUGGGGUCCCCACAUACACAUGCAAUGGGAGCACAGCACCGUGGGGUCCCAAUGCAAAAGGAACUCAUCACCAUGGGGUCCCAAUGCAAUGGGAGCACAGCACUGUGGGGUCCCAAUGCAAUGGGAGCACAGCACCGUGGGGUCCCCACACCCCCAUGCAAAUGGGAGCGCAGCACUGUGGGGUCCCAAUGCAAAAGGAGCUCAGCACCGUGGGGUCCCCACACCCCCACGCAAUGAGAGCUCAGUGCCCACAGCCUCACACCCAAGAAUAAGAUUGGGGAUGCGCGUGGUGCCGAGCAAGGAGAGCAACGCUGGAGCUGCACGGAUCGCCGCUUCGGGGCCGGAGAAUGAAAGCAAAUUGCAAAGCAGCAUUAAAGAACCACCCUGCAGCCUUCUCCUCCAUGCCCAGGAGCUGAGAGCCUCCUGUCCUAUUAAUAUCAGCCAGCUCAGGAAGAGGAGAGGGAACAUCUUUAUCUCUUCCAUCCGCUGAUACCUCGUCCUCUCUCUCUUUUAUGGCUGCAAUUCCCCCUUUGUUCAGCCCCACGUGCUGCGCGGCAGGGAGAGCUGCUGGAGCAUCUCGAAAUAUAAUUAGAAAGCUAAAUAUGACACCGCUGUUCCACUCGGAGACCCAACCCCAUAAAACACCCAGGCUGUGAUGUGGAAAACGGUGCCAUCCGUGCAUCCGCCGCCGCCCCGACGGCUGAGCUCCGUGAUUGCUUAAAGAUUACCCACCAGUUUUCAAUUACCUCCCAUUAAUGUAUUUACCCGGCGUAUCUUUUAUCAAGCUGCAAGUUGUUGUGUUGGUAUGAUAUUAUUUUUUCUUUGCAGGGAGAUGGGUUGGCUUCCCCUAAACGGCCCAUAUUUCAGCAUUAGAGCCGCUCGCUAUCAGCGUGGGCUGAGUGAUGCUUUGCUGCUCCAUCUCCCGGUGUUUAAUUCUGCUGGAGCUUCGGCUGCUCCUUAGGGGUGGUCACCGAGGUGUGCUGUGAAGGCCAGGGGGGCUCAGGGGGUGGCUUCCAAUGGAGCUGAGGCAGCGGAGUGGGGUCCCCUCUUCAUCCUCCCCAUCCGCUUCCCUGCCUCAGUUUCCCCUUCGGAUCACAGCUGUGCCUCAGUUUCCCCUCAGGUUCCUCCCUGCACACAAACCACAGCCUUCCCCCACCUCACAUCUUCCUGCGGAGACCCCAACGCUUCCCCCAGCGCCCACCCAGCCCUCAAAUCCCCCCUGGCUCAGAGCGGAGGAUCCCGAGGUGGGAUUUUCCAUCACCCCCCACCCCGAGGCUCCGUGCUGAGUCCCUGCAGACGCUUUUGGGGCCAUUCACCCCAGAAUGAGGCUGAGGACCACAUGUGGUUGGCAACGACACGUGGAGCCGCGGGGGAAUGAGCUGCUGAGAGCCACGAUGGUUCUGGCAUGGAUUCAUCCCAAAAGAAUCCGAGCGGAGCGUGGAGCUGGGCCGGGGUUGGGGGUUGUUUCCAUUUCUGAGCCAUUUUGCACCGCGUUGUGGUGUCAGUUUUGGGGUGAUUAUCAAAUAUAGAGGAGAAGGAGCGAGUCGGAGGCAGAACCAGGCAGCUCCACUCCUCUGCGCCCACCCUAGCAGCACUGAGGACAUCCCCUCCAUUUGCUUUCCUUUUCUGGGGGGACGUUUACUCAUAAACUGGAGAGAUUUUCCCUGUUUUCUCCCCCUUUUUAAACAAAUCAUUAUUAUUUUCAUUAUUAUUUUCAGAGCUUAAAUGGCUCAAUGCUCAGCCACUGGAGAACGGUGGCCGUUGGGCAGAGCCAUGUCCACAGUGCACGGCCUCCAUUGGGUGCAGUGAGACGCCAAGCCUUGUUUUAGUGGGCACGGUGGGGGGGUUGGGGUUGGGUUGUUGGUGUUGGAGCUCUUUUCCAAGCUUAAGACUCCAUGAUUCUAUGAGUGAGCAUGGUGGGAACGGGUUGGGGUUGGACUGUUGGUCUUGGAGGUCUUUUCCAACCUUAAUGGCUCCUUGAUUUGAUGAGUGAGCAUGGUGGGAAUGGGUUGGGUUUGGACUCAAUGGUCUCAGAGGUCAUUUCCAACCUUAAUGACUCCAUGAUUCGAUGAGUGAUCAUGGUGGGAAUGGGUUGGGGUUGUAAUGUUGGUCUUGGAGGUCUUUUCCAACCUCAUUGGGUUUCAGAAGAAGAAUGGAUCUGUCGGAUUUCAGCCUCCCUGACCCCCAUCCCCCCCUUCUAUAUAAAAAAAACCAAAUGCUGUCCCCAUAACUGCAAUCAGAGCGCUCUGCAGAGCUCCGGACACAAUUGCUGUGGUUGUUAUUAUCUUUAUUUAAGGCCCACGGAGGCCCUGAGGGAAUAUCACCAUCCUGGUGCCAUAAGAUCUAGAAACGGUGCCGCUGUUUACUGUGCCGUCGCGUUGGCUCCUCAGCCCUUCGAAGCCGUAACCUUCCUUUUUAUGGCAACAAUUAUGCUAACGAUAACAUCAUUAAACCGCAUGGGAAUGACCCUUAAAUCAAAAGGGGAAGCUUCCCCUUCCUGAGAACGGUGGCCCAUUGGAGACCUCGGGUGGAAGGAAUCACCGCCCCCCAACCACAGCGAGUUCGGUGGAUAUAUCUCUCUAUAUAUUUUAAGAAGAUUAUUUAUGGUUUAUUUUAGACGCCGGAUCAUUUGGCUCUUGUUUCAUCAAUUUGUCACUGUUUUUAUUGUCACCAAUUGCCCAUAACUGGAGUGCGUUUAAAAUGUCAUUGAUCUUGAUAUUAUGGUGUCAUAAUAUGACAGUAAUAGUUGUAUCUUGUACAGAAAGCCCACUUCCUAAGAUUGAUGGCUUUCACCGCACCAAUUAUAUUCUGUCCAUCUCGGUGAUAAAGAGAGCGUUGGAGGCAUUCAAUAGAUAAAUUAGAUAUCUUUUCAAUUAUUCCCUUUAUUUUAUAGGGUCACGUGCCUGAUUAACAACUUUUUACUUCUGUUAUUAAGCCGGCGGGUUCUCAAUGCUCGCUCCAUGUCUUUUAAUUCUCGUGGAUAUAAUGGAAGACGUUGAGGGCUUUGUGCUCUGUGAUCCUCUCCUAUCUUUUGUGCAGUACGAAUCUCACUCUUCCUGGCAGCCCAUGGGUGCUGCAGUCCCUUUUUUCCUCCAGGAUUCCAUAAAAGAAUCCCUUCCUUUGGCUGGAAGGCGCCCUGAACUGUGAGCUCAGCCCCAUCCGGACGUGUUUCUCACCCAGGCUUUGCUCCGUGGCGCUGUGGAUGGUUGGGGGGAGAGCUCUGAGAUGCAGAGUGUCCCAUGUCAGGGUAUUUCUGGAGCUGAAGGAGUGAAUGGAUGGGGAAGGUGGUGGCCUCGGGCAGGAUGUGGCCUCUUCUCUCUGUGUUCCAGGUUGGGGACGUCGGCACCGGUUGCUGUGACUGAGUGUCCCCAUCCCCACACGAGGAUGUCCCAGUAUAUCCCAGAGGUGCUCCUGUGGUGCAAGCCUGGAGGACCUCUGUUGGCCAAGACCGGGUUCCAUGUCCACAUGAAGAUGCCCCAUUACACCCCAGAGGUGUUCCCAUGGCAUCACGUGAGCCUGGAGGACCACUGUUGGCCAAGCCCGGCUUCCAUGUCCGUAGGAGGAUCUCCCACUGCACCCUACAGAUGUUCUUAUGGCACUGGGAGAGCCUGGAGGACCACUGUGGGCCAAAGCCAGGUUCCACGUCCACAUGAGGAUGUCCCAAAACAUCUUAGAGGCAUUCCCAUUGGGCCAUGUGAGCCUCGAGAACCCCUGUUGGCCAAGGCCAGGUUCCACGUCCACAUGAGGAUGUCCCAGCACACCCUUGAGGUGCUCCCAUGGCAUCGUGUGAGCCCUGAGGGCCACUUUUGGCUCUGAGAUGGUCGCAGCGUGGUGAGAUGGCUCUGGGCUGGUUGGGUUUUGUUGGCUUUGUGGAACCCCAAGCAUCCACUUCAGGGGGACCUCAUCUUCUACUCAGCCAAAUGACUCCGGGUGCUGCAGGGCGAUGGCAAACGCAAGGAGACAUUCAACCACGGGCUGCCCUGACCCCAUUCCUGCUCCCCACGGGGGUGGGACAAAAGAUGUGUGAUUUGUAACCCAUCAGGUCCCCAAAAAGCACUUUUCUGUCUCCCUCCGAGCUCCACACCGGAGACGCCGGGCUGCCCCUACCCCAAUUCCCUCCCACCGCAGACGUCGAUCCGCGCAGGCGAAUGGAAACACGGCGCUGGCGAGAGGCUCCCCUGCAGAGCAGUUCCUCAUCCCGACCUGCAACGCACACAAAGAGCAAUUCAGGUGGAGUUACCCCGAGGAGAUUUAUGGCGUCCAGGGAGGCGCACGCGAUCCGAUACCAAAGCAUGAAUCAAAGCAGGACAGCCGGGAUGUAUUUACAUCUGCGCCGCGCGCGCGCGCCGACGUCGCAAGGAGAACACAAAGUCAGUUGGCAAUGGAUGACUGCUGCGGGCUCUGGGGGUGGUGGGGGGCACCUCUGAGCUUCGUGGGUGUAAAAGGGAAUGGGAAGGAUGAUGGUAAUCGAUGGGGUUGCGCUGCAUGGCUUCUCAAGGCCGAGCCAAGGGAUGUAUGUGUGAGGAAAUGGCGGGGGUUUCAUGGCUGGGGGGUAUAUCUGAGAGGAAAGCCCUUGGGUUUCAUGGCUGGGGAUGUAUUUGAGAGGAAAGCCCUUGGGUUUCAUGGCUGGAGGCAUGUUUUAGAAGAAAGCCCUUGGGUUUAGCAGUGGCUGUGGAUGGUGAAGCCUCCAUGCGUCCUCACAUCGGUUGGGUUGCGUGGGCACUCCGGUCCAACUCUGUUAUCCAACAUUUCAACCCAUACAAAGCCCAGUGGUGUCACCACGUGGUGCAGCACCAACCCCACUACCUGGGGUGGUGAUUUUGGGCCCCUUCUGCCAGGAAAUGGCUCACGCCGUGUGAAAACACCCAACCCAGAGCUGUGACAUGGUGUGGACCUUUUGGUUCACCAUUGGGGCUUUCCGGAAAGACUCAUUCCAUGAUGGAUGAACUUUUAAUGGAGAGAAAUAGACAGCCCUUCUUUAAGUGCGGGGUUUAAGUGAAGCCAAUGAUUUAAACAACUUAAAGUCCAUUAAACAAAGGGAGAACUUGGAUCUCAUCAACUCAUUCAUUCUGAGAAGCGCCCGGCCUGGGAUAAACCUGACACUGAGGAGUCAUCAGAGCAUUGCUAAAACAUACGCUUGCCUUCGUAAUGAAAUGUUUUUAAGGGACCAUAAUGGUUACCGUGAGGGCGGUUUGCGUUAGAACCAUUUGAAUUCCCUCAGCUGAGAUCCUUCAAUAGGUGCCCAUCCACUAAUGGAAAGGAGACAUUUCGGAGACGUGAAGGAGUUGGAGACAUUUCGGCCCUAUUUGGAAGAGGUGGGGGCACAGGGAGCGGUGCCAGCCCCUUCCCCAUCUCCACACCCCCACAUUUUCCCCUCCUUUCGUCCCAGGUGGAAAUGGAUGGAAGCCAAACGUGCCAUAAGACGAAGUGUGCUGAUGGGAAGCGGAGCCCAUCGCCUCCAUCACUGACAAACAGGGAGAGGUGGGGUUGGUGGUCGCUGGUUUUCCACUCGCAGUGGUCCAUCAGGGUUACGGAUGCUCUGUGGGUAACAGAAAAUGGUCAUAAUUCCCCCCCAGGUUCAGUGCUUUGGGGUUUCUCAGCAUGUUACCAGCGGGCACCAAUCGGGGUGGGGAGGACGAGAGCCUCAUUUCUCCCCAAGCAGAUAAAAUUUCUCCUCUUCCCAUCCACACAAACCCCAGCCAUAAAUCCUCAGGCUCGAGCAAAUGCAGGGCAGAAGUUUAAAGCAAACCUUACGAUUUUAAUGCCCGGGCUCAACGAAGCAUGGAAACAUUUGCUCAGCAUUAAGUGUGUGCUUAGCACCCCGCAGGAGCCCAGAGCUGCACACAGCAGUGCAGGAACUCCCUUCUUCCUCCCCAAUUCAUCCCCUGUAGGAGCAGAGCGCGGAGGCAGCGAGCCAAGCGUCCGGCCAACGCUGCAGCAAGAUUUAUGGGAGGGGAAGGGACCCGCUUUCUUCCCUGUGAUUAAUAAGGAGAAGACAAGAAACCUCCUCAGAGCCCCAAUGGAGGCAUUUCCCUGGUUUGAUGGGGUCAACGAGAGCCGAAUUCCAGCCGAUGUAGAUAUAAUUUCAUCGGGGGGUUGGAGGGUCCCUUCCAUCCCUCCCACUGCUGCAAGAAGAGAACUGGAAGCGUCUCCUCCCUCCGUGCUGCUCCAGGGCUCGGUGACCCUGCAGCGAUGUUCGGUCCUGGCAGCGGCGUGGCGACGUUCCUGGGAGGAAAACAGAGGAAAUGGGGGUCUGCUCUGCAAAACCCCACCCUGGGAUGCAAGGAUCCAAAAGCCAUCGGGAUGUCGCAUUUACCGACGCCAUUCAUCUACACCCAUCCCCAGGACGGGCUGCAGGAGCCGCGCUGGUGGUCCCAGCCAUUAGCAGAGCCCUGAGGAUGAGUUCCCAGCCCUCUCCCCCAGCCCUGUCCUUGCACAUCAUCCGCCCUCACAUCACUGCUGGAUGUGGCACCGGAGCCCUCGGCGCGGCCACAACUCAGGUUGGCAGCUGAGCAUCCUGGAGCGGCCGAGCGCGGCCGGGAGCCGUAAUUCUUACCCUGCAUUCCCUGCCAGCUCUGCUCCCCGGUGGCACAUAGAUCACCCAGAGGUGUGGAUGGAGAGCAGGCGAUGUAAAUCACAUUAAACUCCACGCGUGGAGCUGCUCGUUCCGAACGCAGCCAGCCUUAAUUCGGUUUAGCUUUGCGAAUUAAGCUCAAGUGAAUUAAACCAACUCUAAUUCUGGCUAAGUGUCCAGAAUGGGGUUUUAUGUGCUCUGGCUAAUCCAUUUUAAAGGUUGAUUUGGGUUAACGUUGAUGGAUGUCCCUUUGUGGGUACCUCUCGGUGCCGCCAGGCUCGCCUGGCCAGGAUUUAUGGCACGGCAGCAACCAGAGCCAUCCACCCCAUGACCUGCGCCAGCACCACGAGCUCCCUCAUUUCCCAGGGAAUGCUACAGAUGAGCUUCAACUGCUUUCCCAAAGGGCAGCGUCUGUUCAUUUUUCUAGCAAACCAGUGUUGGGUUGAGUCCCAUGUUCCAUUCCAGUAUUGAAGGCAGCAUCCAUCCGAUCUUGCCAACCAAUACGCAUCGGGUUGAGUCAAACUGUUCCAUUGCGUUGUCGAAGGGCAGCAUCCAUCUGACCUUGCCAACCAGCUGGCAUUGGGUUGAGUCCCACUUUCCACUCCAGUAUCAAAGGGCAGAACCCAUCUGGUCUUGCCAGCCAAUCAGCAUUGGGUUGAGUCCCACUUUCCAUUCCAGUAUAGAAGGACGACGUCCUUCUGGCUUUGCCAACCAAUUGGGUUGAGUCAAACUGCUCCAUUCCACCGUCACAGGGCAGCAGCCCUCCAGCUCUGCCAACAAACCACCCUUGGGUUGAGUCCAAUGAUCCAUUCCAAGAGAGGAGACACAUUUGGGGCACUGCUCUGAAGGUUCCUCUCUCCUCAGUGGGGGAUUCAUGGGGGGUUCGCAAUUAGUACCGCAGCGUAGACCCGAAGGUGCUGAUUUCUCUUCAUUGAGUGCAGAGAAUUUGGGGCACAGAGCUCCUUAUUUAGGCACGUCUCCUGAAUGACCAACGCUGUGCAGAUGGAAAGUGCACACAGCUAAUGAGUGCCAUUACGUCUCACCCCUUUGGUUCAAAAUGAGGACAGGACCAUCAUCACCUCCCAGCCUUCGCAACGCUGCUCGUGUAAAGGGGGGUCGAGAGGAGGGCCCAAUGCAUCCCACACCAAGAGCAUCGCCCACGUGGGAUCACGCAGCAGCCGGACCCCAAACGUCCCCUCUUCCCAAAAUCAGCCUGGAUGCGUUUCUGAGAAGAGCGCGUCCCCUUGACUUUGUCCUUACAACAUCGGCAGUGAAUCCUGCAGCCUCCACCCUCGCUCCUCUCGCAGAGCAGCCAAUUGGCAGCGGAUCAAUGCAGGAGAGAGUCAGCAGGAGGGCAGCGAGAUGAAUUAUUUCCCUCUGGGAGGCGGAGGGCAGAGCCCAGAGCUGCCCCACAGCCCGCAGGCAGGGCGCUAUAGGGCGAGCAUCGGGAUGGAGCAGCGUGGCAGGAUGUGUUCGCUGCGUCCCCCGCACCCCACGCGUGGCCGUAAGGGCGAUUAGCUCAGUUAAUUUAGCCCCGGGUUGAGGGUGGAAGACAACGUGGAGGCUCCCCGCCCAUCUGCAAAGGGCUUUGGGUCGGGAACACAUCUACAGGGGAACGCUCGUGCAGGGAAAUGUGAAUUAGCAGAGGCUUUGAGUCGAGAGUGCAUUAAUUUAAAGUGCGCUGGAAGCGCAUGCAAAAUGCAUGCAAAGUGCACUCUGCUCGGAACGAAAGCACUCCUCGGUCAAUGGGAGGUGAUUUACUGCCUCUCCCUCGGCGGUCGGGGCAGAAUCCAUCUCUCCUUCCCGCAGGUUGCUGAGCCGAACCGGGUCGGGAAGAGCAUCGCCCUCCGAGGGAGCGACUCCCCGCACAUCCCCGGCUUACGGGACGCAGCGCCGCGCUUCCCGGCUGCGGGGGGAGGACGGGCAGGGAGAGGUGCUGAGAGACGGCAGGGAUGGGAGGAGAAGGGAAAGGUGCGCUCGGAUUUAAACGCACGGCGUCCCGCGGCCCGGCGCAGCCUUCGUUUGCAGAGAGGGCCGACGGCCGUGCGGGCGCUGCAGAGCUCCGGCGGCGCUGCAAAGUAGAGGUGCGGUGUUGAAAGGAGCUGAGUGCCGCCAGUUGGGCUUAAAGCCCGAAGAGCUGAGCUUGCAGUGGGUGCCCUCCUGAAAUAGGUGGGUUGGAGAGUGCCAAAAGGCCGUCAAAAGCCCCCUGGUUUGGGGCUGCGUCGCGUCGGGUGGCACCGCUGUUCUCCGCCACGAGGGAAAUGCCCAGGGGGGUAUUUGGGCCUUUUUGGUGAUGAAAGCCAAUGGGUGUGAGCAGCAGCAGCAAAUCCCUGCUGUGAGGGAGCGGCCAAAAAGCGAGCAGAGGUGAAGCAAAGCUGCACGGCGCCGAAAGCGAACCCUGGGGAGGAAAAGGGUGGAAAAUAGUUGAGCUCUCCUCGAUUUCAGUGUGAAAUCCACUGAUCCACCGGCGGGGCUGAGCUCCCCCAUGCAGGGCUGGGGCUGUGAGCUGCCUGUCUGGGAUUGCCAGCAGAGCGAGCAAAAGCAAUUAACCUAACGAGCAGCGUGGCUCCUGUAGGAAGGAUGCAGGGCGCGGAGCUCGGGGUUUUAAAUCAAUCUCGUGGUGGUGAAGGAUGGAGAGAUGAGCGCGGCCCGGAAAGGAGAUGCUGCUUAAUGAGCCCUCGAGAUGUGCUUUUAAGCAGUGUCCUUCCAGAUGGGAUGAGAUGAGUGUUAAACCACGGGAAGGGGUCGGGGUGUUUGGGGGGGUUCCCACCAACGGGGGAUCCGUGCCAGUCCUCUCCAUUGACUCCAGAGGGAGUCGGGAUGGGCAGAGAGAAGAGGGCAGAACCAAUUGGGUCGGAUGGGACCCUCAAAGGGCACCGGGUCUGACCCCAGGGGUGGGUUUGUGCCCCAUAUAGCACCAGGUCUGACCCCAGGGGUGGGUUUGUGCCCCAUAUAGCACCAGGUCUGACCCCAGGGGUGGGUUUGUGCCCCACGCAGCACCAGAUCUGACCCCCAGGGAUGGAUUUGUGCCCCAAUGGCCUUUCCCAGGGAUGCACUGAGGUUCCCAUGUUGCCCCCCCAGAGCAUCCCCCAUUGGCACUGCUGGGUCGGGGCCUCCCACCCCCUCCCACCCCCUCCCACCGACCCCACCCUCACCAAUAGGACACCUUCACCCCCCCCAUUUGGGACUAUUCUCCCCCAAAACACGAGGUUCCCCAUCACCUCCUCUCACCAUCCUGGACCCCCAGGCGAUGAGGGGCCGCAGCUCCCACCGCCCCGAGCCCCAGAAGUCUAUUUAUUACUCACAGCAAUUAAUAAAGGGCGGGAGGCAGACGAGCAUCUCUCCUGCCUGUUGCUAAUUAGUGCUCUGCUGGCGGGAGGCGAGGAGGAGGCAGAGGCUGCAGGCAGCUCGCUCGCCCACGACGCGUAAUGAAAGCAGCACAACCCUUCGCGUUAUUUAAUCUAAUAGGAGAAUUAAUAUCUGGAUGGAGGGCGAUCGCUUCUGCUCUACAGAUGGGGGCACGCAGCGAGGAAGGGGGGGGGGGGGGGGGGACACCCAGGGAUGCGCCAUCCAUCUUGCUUUAUCCCCAAAAUGCCAUUGGAUUGCAUGGUGGUGGGUGGCUGUCGGCGGCCUUUUGGGGUCUUUUCUCCCCUUUUUGGCUCAGCACGGUGAUUGAAACCCACUCCCCACCCUUCCCACGCUGGUAAAGCCCCCCCCCCCCCCCCCCCCCCACCCCGAUCUCAACGAGGAGCACUGGAAGGGCUGCUGUCUGUCCAUGCGUGGAGUCUCCCCGGGCUGGGUGACAAAUGGCCCCUGUGACAGUAAUGGCAAAAUUAGAAGCUGCAUCGCCGUCCCCUCCGCCCGCAGCCCGCGCUGCGCUGCGCUCCUCCCCAACACGCAGUGCAAAGAAAGGUCAGCGGGCGCCUCGCAUGUUAAUGCAUGGAG